CAAAGAACUUUGAAGAGAGAGUUCAAGAGAAUGUGAAACCACGUGGGGCUAAGCGGAUAGAGUUGACGAAACUGGCAGUGUUCAGUAGUCCUGAUCGGGUUUCGAUUCGUGAUGGUCUGCGCAUUCAUUGUUGGUACGUGCUGGGACGUUUGGCGAGCCCUUCUGAAGGCUUCAGAGUCACCCAAGCUUCGGCCUGGUAGUGUUUUGUUGUCGGAAGUUGAUGUGCUUGCUAAGCGUAAUGUUGGCCAUGCCUCUGCGCGUUCGGCUGUUGGUUAGCGCUCUGCUUGGUAGUCGGACAUGUCUGGCUGCCUUGUACGUGUGUUGAUCAGUGGUCGCUCGCCUAUGGUCCAAUCCCGGUAUGUGAAAGUCGACCACCUAUCCGACCCGUCUUGAAACACGGACCAAGAAGUCUAGUAUGUACGCGAGUCAUUGGGUAUCAAAACCUAUUGGCGCAAUAAAUGUGAAGGGCGGCUUGUUCGUCUGAUAUGUGAUCCGUCAGUUUCGGCUGGCGGCGCAACAUAGUCCCAUGCCUACUGCUUGCAGUGGUGUGGAGAUGGAGCGUACACACUAGGACCCGAAAGAUGGUGAACUAUGCCUGAGCAGGACGAAGUCAGAGGAAACUCUGAUGGAAGUCCGAAGCGGUUCUGACGUGCAAAUCGAUCGUCGGACUCGGGUAUAGGGGCGAAAGACUAAUCGAACCAUC
This 703-nucleotide ribosomal RNA is filed under the name Pristionchus maupasi. RNAcentral's name for it is "eukaryotic LSU rRNA". It matches the Rfam family "Eukaryotic large subunit ribosomal RNA", at positions 367 to 944 of the family's 3401-position model. The record is from RNAcentral. Lineage: Eukaryota; Metazoa; Nematoda; Chromadorea; Rhabditida; Neodiplogasteridae.